RNAcentral lists this long non-coding RNA (205 nucleotides) under Rhinolophus ferrumequinum (greater horseshoe bat). Its description in RNAcentral is "lncRNA (ENSRFEG00010000212.1)". Lineage: Eukaryota; Metazoa; Chordata; Mammalia; Chiroptera; Rhinolophidae. The record is from RNAcentral.
AUGAAGUCCUCUGAGUAUACGGACCAAAGAAAGCUGCGGUGGAGAUAUACCACAUUUUCCAGAGUCUUCGCGAAUGACGAUGGAGGGGUGUACCAGGACUUCUCCUAUGUCAAAAGAAAUCAGAAUCAGAAGGGAUCAUUGGGCAGCUCUACAAAAGGGAUGUGCAUCUGUAACAAGAUUCUCUGAAGAAUAGCAACUGCCCUUA